RNAcentral lists this ribosomal RNA (253 nucleotides) under uncultured bacterium. Its description in RNAcentral is "partial 16S ribosomal RNA". It matches the Rfam family "Bacterial small subunit ribosomal RNA", at positions 524 to 776 of the family's 1533-position model. The record is from RNAcentral.
UACGUAGGGUGCAAGCGUUGUCCGGAAUUAUUGGGCGUAAAGAGCUCGUAGGCGGUCUGUCGCGUCGGCUGUGAAAACCCGGAGCUCAACUCCGGGCCUGCAGUCGAUACGGGCAGACUGGAGUUCGGCAGGGGAGACUGGAAUUCCUGGUGUAGCGGUGAAAUGCGCAGAUAUCAGGAGGAACACCGGUGGCGAAGGCGGGUCUCUGGGCAGUAACUGACGCUGAUGCACGAAAGCUAGGGGAGCAAACAGG